CCUACGGGUGGCUGCAGUGAGGAAUAUUGGUCAAUGGCCGAGAGGCUGAACCAGCCAAGUCGCGUGAGGGAAGAAUGUCCUAUGGAUUGUAAACCUCUUUUGUCAGGGAGCAAAGUCACCCACGUGUGGGUGUUGGAGAGUACCUGAAGAAAAAGCAUCGGCUAACUCCGUGCCAGCAGCCGCGGUAAUACGGAGGAUGCGAGCGUUAUCCGGAUUUAUUGGGUUUAACGGGUGCGGAGGCGGGUUAUCAAGUCAGCGGUAAAAUCGUGGAGCUCAACUCCAUUCAGGCGGUGAAACUUAUGAUCUUUGGGUGGCGAGAAGUAUGCGGAAUGCGUGGUGUAGCGGUGAAAUGCAUAGAUAUCACGCAGAACUCCGAUUGCGAAGGCAGCAUACCGGCGCCCGACUGACGCUGAAGCACGAAAGCGUGGGUAUCGAACAGGAUUAGAUACCCGGGUAGUC
Molecule: ribosomal RNA, 459 nt
Filed under: uncultured bacterium
Lineage: Bacteria
Description: partial 16S ribosomal RNA
Rfam family: Bacterial small subunit ribosomal RNA
Source: RNAcentral